Molecule: ribosomal RNA, 498 nt
Filed under: uncultured bacterium
Lineage: Bacteria
Description: partial 16S ribosomal RNA
Rfam family: Bacterial small subunit ribosomal RNA
Source: RNAcentral
GAUGAACGCUGGCGGCGUGCCUAAUACAUGCAAGUCGAGCGAACGGACGAGAAGCUUGCUUCUCUGAUGUUAGCGGCGGACGGGUGAGUAACACGUGGAUAACCUACCUAUAAGACUGGGAUAACUUCGGGGAAACCGGAGCUAAUACCGGAUAAUAUUUUGAACCGCAUGGUUCAAAAGUGAAAGACGGUCUUGCUGUCCCUUAUAGAUGGAUCCGCGCUGCAUUAGCUAGUUGGUAAGGUAACGGCUUACCAAGGCAACGAUGCAUAGCCGACCUGAGAGGGUGAUCGGCCACACUGGAACUGAGACACGGUCCAGACUCCUACGGGAGGCAGCAGUAGGGAAUCUUCCGCAAUGGGCGAAAGCCUGACGGAGCAACGCCGCGUGAGUGAUGAAGGUCUUCGGAUCGUAAAACUCUGUUAUUAGGGAAGAACAUAUGUGUAAGUAACUGUGCACAUCUUGACGGUACCUAAUCAGAAAGCCACGGCUAACUACGUG